Molecule: long non-coding RNA, 347 nt
Filed under: Androctonus crassicauda
Lineage: Eukaryota; Metazoa; Arthropoda; Arachnida; Scorpiones; Buthidae
Source: RNAcentral
AGAAAUUUCUAUAAAAAAAAAAAACAAGGAAGGAUUUUAUAUCUGACCCAUAAACAUACCUCGAGAGAGAGAUUUUCUUCUUUGUCUUCUUUUUUUCUUAUAUAAGUAUAUUCGCUGGAAAAUGAUGGAAGCAUUGAAGAGACAAUGCAAAAGGAGCAAAAGAGAGAGAGAGAGAGAGAGAGAAGAGCUUUGCUGUUCCUCUCUGUUUUAUUCUUUGGUCCACCCAAUCACAUCAGUGGAGAGAGGUUCAAACUCAUUUUCGACCUUAUUUGGUCAAAUUGUAUCUCCUCUCUUCCACUGGGAUUGGCAGGUGGGUCAUAUUGACGGGAUAUUUCACAAUAUUGUUU